CCGGAUCUGUCUUCUACAGAGGGUCCCUCAUACCCGGCUUUCCACACUGGCCCAAGUCUGUGCAGCGGGUCGCCGAAAACACCGUGGGACCCCGUCAGCCUCCCUCACAUUCUCCCCAAGAUGAGAAAUCUCUAUUCCCGUCUGUUUCCAACCUGAAAUCUUUCCCUGUUCAAGCGGGCAAACAGUAACCGUCUGUGGCCAGAGCCGGGUGCUUUGGACGGGGAGGGAUCCUGGGUGCUCCGGGAGCAGGGGUCGCUGAGCGCCGGUAACGCCUCUCCUUCUCGGGGGAGCCCACAGCAAAGGAGUCCGAUCGGGGGGCUGUUUUCCCUCCCUCCCUCCGCCUCUGACACAGGCACAGCCGCCCCGGUUCUGUGCCCCUGUGGCUGAGUUCUCAGUUAGAAGAGCCUGUGGGGGUCCCCUCAGACACGCCCGGAGGAGCCCCCGUCGGGGCGGUCGCUCCCGCGCCCGUGCCCCCGGAGCUCAGGGGAGAGAACAUGGCAUUUCACCCUCCUCUCCCUCGGGAACAGGGCCCAGGCUGAUGAGGGCACUGCACCGCCUCAACAUUUGCUUCUGAGCUUUUGCUGAGUGAAAGUACUCUUCCAGUCCUCAACCGUGACGGAAAAGUGGCCUCCUUCCUCCGACCGGCCCAAGCAGUUCUGCAGAAAAGUAUCUGUUCUAGAUGUCUUCCUUGGCUGACAGCUCUGAAGAAUCAAAUGUUCAAAAUAGACUGGCUUAUUUAAACUCCUCCCCAGGGAGCAGUUCCACACUGUUAUCCAGCUUGCAGUUCCUAGAGCAUAAAUUAAUUCAAGCUGCAUUCACUGCUCAUUUUUUUGAGCUGUAUUAACAUGGGCAGUGAGAAAUUGUUGGGUGUGUGGCAGCAUUUUCACAGAUAUACAGAAGCACUGGCCACUUACUCCAUUGCAGGACAAACCUAACCUGUGUAUAGCAAAAAUGAUGCUUGCCCUGGAAAAGGAUGACCAGAGACCCUAAGAGAGUCUAUAGUUUUACACUGAAAUGUGAGAAUGUGAGUAUCACCUGGGAACACCCUAAAAUCACAAGGUCUAAAAAAUAGGAUAGUCAACCCUGGCCUAUGGGAAUGUAGAAGGUCUGGAUUUAGUAAAAUGUUAGGACUUCUCAGGGGAAGAAGCUGUUCAGUAUUUUGAAGAGUGGUUCAUCAUUCCAGCAGCUGGUCUAAGCUUCUGCUACUGCUUCAGGUACUUCAAGAGUGAAUUUGAAAACUGUUGAGUAGUUUAAAGAGACUGACAACAUGAAAAUUAUUUAGAUCACCACACAGCUUCCAUCACCUGGGUUCAGUUCUCUGUGCAGCUACAGAUGAGACAAGGUAAGAAUCAAAUUUAAUUCAUUCCUCCUCCAUCCCUUUCUAGCCAAUAAGGCAGCUGCCUAAGUAUUUCUGCUGUGCAUGUAGUUUUAAGUUUACUCCAUUUUAUGUGUUAAGGUGGGAUGAUUGAGAGGGAAUCCAACAUCUGAACUUUCCUUCAGUCCCUCCUAAAGAGAAAAACCCCUCUCUUCCAUCCAAACACUUUCAUAGCUCAUCAGUUGACUUUGCCAUUACCCAUUGAACAAACCAUUUUCUCCUUUUCAGGAUCUGUGAAUAUUUGCCUCAAAAUCCAUCCAUUCCCAGAAAUCCUUUAAAUCUUUCCUAUUAUCCUUAGAGGUAGCUGUAACUUCAGCCUCUGCAGACAACUCUCCCUGCCCUUUCAGGGCCAUUUCUUUUUGUUGCUGUGAUGUGAAGUUUUUUCUUGUGAUUAAGUGGGAUGUCCACCAGAGCUGAGACUUCAGCUGUGAAACCUGGGGUCUACAAACACUUCAUCUAAGUAUUAACUAUCAAGCUGUUGUCAGGAAAACAAAAGAGCUGGACUGGAAUGGCCAACUGGAAACCUGCUGUAUUAACUGAAAGACAACAGAGAGUAGAGAUAUGAUACAUCUUUGAUAUGAUCAAAUAUAAUCAAAACUAAAGCAAGCAAAGGCCCAAUCCCAGAAAAGACUUUGUCAGGUGUUUAGCUGUAAUUUCUCUGUUUAUUCCUUACAGCCUUAUUCAAAGCCAGAAACGUCUCUGACCUUGUUCCUUUAAUAAUAGCCAUGUGUGAUAGACUUCCAAAAGUAACUCAUGUAAUUUCUCUUGGGCUAUAUAAUAAAAUGGCAUAUACGUGGAAAUAUUACAGUGAUGUUAUACUGAAAAUAAAUCUGUGAAUCAUUAUCACUCAAAAUGA
Parus major (Great Tit) is the source of this 2231-nucleotide long non-coding RNA. RefSeq lists it as uncharacterized. The transcript is spliced from 2 exons. The record is from RefSeq and is a predicted model, not a curated record. Lineage: Eukaryota; Metazoa; Chordata; Aves; Passeriformes; Paridae.